UUUUCUCUUACAGACUGAAAAUGAUGCAGUUGACCAAGACCUUCAAAAUUGAUGUGUGUUUACUUUAUAUCGGUAUGCCUUUACAUGUGUAGAAUUAACAGUUUUGAUUUGAUUAAGCAUUGUCUAUCUCUUCAUGAUAGCCAUAUGAUAGUGGUAGUUUAUUGUUUCCCAUUUCUUGAAGAGCUUGACAUCAUAUUUUCAUUGGAUUCUCAAGCAUCUGGUUUUGGUUUAACAAAGCUAUGUUCCAUGGGAUUAUUAAA
RNAcentral lists this long non-coding RNA (260 nucleotides) under Lathyrus oleraceus (garden pea). RNAcentral describes it as "Pisum sativum (pea) long non-coding RNA (PSAT_LNC026033)". The record is from RNAcentral. Lineage: Eukaryota; Viridiplantae; Streptophyta; Magnoliopsida; Fabales; Fabaceae.